RNAcentral lists this transfer RNA (72 nucleotides) under Patescibacteria group bacterium. RNAcentral describes it as "tRNA-Gln". It matches the Rfam family "tRNA". Rfam says of the family: Transfer RNA (tRNA) molecules are approximately 80 nucleotides in length. Their secondary structure includes four short double-helical elements and three loops (D, anti-codon, and T loops). The record is from RNAcentral.
UGCGGGGUGGUGUAAUGGUAGCACGUCUCCCUUUGGAGGAGAAGACUCUAGGUCCGAAUCCUAGCCCCGCAG